CAAUCCACCAAUAGUAGACUCCUUGGCGUAAUUCCAAGUGCUGGAAACGUUGAGAGGUCCAUGCUGCUUGAUGAUAUUGUAAAGAGAGUGAGAAAUUGAAGCAGCUUCAGGGAACGGAACCUUAGGAUUUAUCUUCCUGACAUUCACUGAGCGUUUCCGAGAGAAAUACCUCACCACUGAAUUCUUUAUCAUGCCAAUGUUUCCGCCACCCACCGAAUUCAUCUUCCCGAUUUCUCACUCCUUUGAUUUGCC
RNAcentral lists this unclassified non-coding RNA (252 nucleotides) under Hevea brasiliensis (rubber tree). Lineage: Eukaryota; Viridiplantae; Streptophyta; Magnoliopsida; Malpighiales; Euphorbiaceae. The record is from RNAcentral.